Caranx melampygus (bluefin trevally) is the source of this 75-nucleotide non-coding RNA. The record is from the annotation of a GenBank genome assembly. Lineage: Eukaryota; Metazoa; Chordata; Actinopteri; Carangiformes; Carangidae.
GUCUCUGUGGCGCAAUCGGUUAGCGCGUUCGGCUGUUAACCAAAAAGGAUGGUGGUUCAAGCCCACCCAGGGAUG